UACGGAGGGGGCUAGCGUUGUUCGGAUUUACUGGGCGUAAAGGGCGCGUAGGCGGUAUGUCAUGUCAGGGGUGAAAGGCCUGGGCUCAACCCAGGAACUGCCUUUGAAACUGGCAAACUAGAGUCCGAUAGAGGAUGGCGGAAUUCCCAGUGUAGAGGUGAAAUUCGUAGAUAUUGGGAAGAACACCAGUGGCGAAGGCGGCCAUCUGGAUCGGCACUGACGCUGAGGCGCGAAAGCGUGGGGAGCAAACAGG
Molecule: ribosomal RNA, 253 nt
Filed under: uncultured bacterium
Lineage: Bacteria
Description: partial 16S ribosomal RNA
Rfam family: Bacterial small subunit ribosomal RNA
Source: RNAcentral